This 481-nucleotide ribosomal RNA is filed under the name uncultured bacterium. RNAcentral describes it as "partial 16S ribosomal RNA". It matches the Rfam family "Bacterial small subunit ribosomal RNA", at positions 29 to 523 of the family's 1533-position model. The record is from RNAcentral.
ACGAACGCUGGCGGCGCGCCUAAAACAUGCAAGUCGAACGAGAGAGAGGGAGCUUGCUUCCUUGAUCGAGUGGCGAACGGGUGAGUAACGCGUGAGGAACCUGCCUCAAAGAGGGGGACAACAGUUGGAAACGACUGCUAAUACCGCAUAAGCCCACGACCCGGCAUCGGGAAGAGGGAAAAGGAGCAAUCCGCUUUGAGAUGGCAUCGCGUCCGAUUAGCUAGUUGGUGAGGUAACGGCCCACCAAGGCGACGAUCUGUAGCCGGACUGGUAGGUUGCACGGCCACAUUGGGACUGAGACACGGCCCAGACUCCUACGUGAGGCAGCAGUGGGGAAUAUUGCACAAUGGGGGAAACCCUGAUGCAGCGACGCCGCGUGGAGGAAGAAGGUCUUCGGAUUGUAAACUCCUGUUGUUGAGGAGGAUAAUGACGGUACUCAACAAGGAAGUGACGGCUAACUACGUGCCAGCAGCCGCGGUAA